Molecule: non-coding RNA, 1007 nt
Filed under: Trichomonas vaginalis G3
Lineage: Eukaryota; Parabasalia; Trichomonadida; Trichomonadidae
Description: Eukaryotic small subunit ribosomal RNA
Rfam family: Eukaryotic small subunit ribosomal RNA
Source: Rfam by way of RNAcentral
UCUUUACCUAGGUAGGCUAUCACGGGUAACGGGCGGUUACCGUCGGACUGCCGGAGAAGGCGCCUGAGAGAUAGCGACUAUAUCCACGGGUAGCAGCAGGCGCGAAACUUUCCCACUCGAGACUUUCGGAGGAGGUAAUGACCAGUUCCAUUGGUGCCUUUUGGUACUGUGGAUAGGGGUACGGUUUUCCACCGUACCGAAACCUAGCAGAGGGCCAGUCUGGUGCCAGCAGCUGCGGUAAUUCCAGCUCUGCGAGUUUGCUCCCAUAUUGUUGCAGUUAAAACGCCCGUAGUCUGAAUUGGCCAGCAAUGGUCGUACGUAUUUUUACGUUCACUGUGAACAAAUCAGGACGCUUAGAGUAUGGCCACAUGAAUGACUCAGCGCAGUAUGAAGUCUUUGUUUUCUUCCGAAAACAAGCUCAAUGAGAGCCAUCGGGGGUAGAUCUAUCUCAUGACGAGUGGUGGAAUACUUUGACUCAUGAGAGAGAAGCUGAGGCGAAGGCGUCUACCUAGAGGGUUUCUGUCGAUCAAGGGCGAGAGUAGGAGUAUCCAACAGGAUUAGAGACCCUGGUAGUUCCUACCUUAAACGAUGCCGACAGGAGUUUGUCAUUUGUUAAUGGCAGAAUCUUUGGAGAAAUCAUAGUUCUUGGGCUCUGGGGGAACUACGACCGCAAGGCUGAAACUUGAAGGAAUUGACGGAAGGGGCACACCAGGGGUGGAGCCUGUGGCUUAAUUUGAAUCAACACGGGGAAACUUACCAGGACCAGAUGUUUUUUAUGACUGACAGGCUUCGGGUCUUUCAGGAUAUUGUUUUUGGUGGUGCAUGGCCGUUGGUGGUGCGUGGGUUGACCUGUCUAGCGUUGAUUCAGCUAACGAGCGAGAUUAUCGCCAAUUAUUUACUUUGCCGAAGUCCUUCGGUUAAAGUUCUAAUUGGGACUCCCUGCGAUUUUAGCAGGUGGAAGAGGGUAGCAAUAACAGGUCCGUGAUGCCCUUUAGAUGCUCUGGGCU